Long non-coding RNA from Ailuropoda melanoleuca (giant panda), 374 nucleotides. RefSeq lists it as uncharacterized. The record is from RefSeq and is a predicted model, not a curated record. NCBI's taxonomy places the organism in Eukaryota, Metazoa, Chordata, Mammalia, Carnivora, Ursidae. The transcript has 3 exons.
UUAAAAGUGUGGGUUUUGAGUUCGGCACAGAAACUAGCCAUUCUUUCUUCAAUGUUCAUUCGGAAAACUUGCCCAGCCUCUCUCAGUCUGACUCUUGGGCUUUACGAUCAUUGUCUUGGAAUCUUCUAAACCAGCGACAGAGUAGAAGAGGACUAUGAACCCACCAGGCAGGGAUGUCCUUAUACCGACCUUGCCAACCGAGAUGCAGGGUCCAACCGGGGUCGACUUGGACAGGCUGCACUGAGGCAGACGCAUUUGGGCUCAUGAAUGGGAAGGGACAGAGUGCCAAACUCCCUACCACAAAUGUAGCAGAUGAGAGCCUUUGGUCGGGCUGGGAUGCCACCAGCAGCUUUCCUGGGACCAGUGCGAUCAUC